RNAcentral lists this ribosomal RNA (779 nucleotides) under Kalmusia sarothamni. Its description in RNAcentral is "eukaryotic LSU rRNA". It matches the Rfam family "Eukaryotic large subunit ribosomal RNA", at positions 83 to 920 of the family's 3401-position model. The record is from RNAcentral. Lineage: Eukaryota; Fungi; Ascomycota; Dothideomycetes; Pleosporales; Didymosphaeriaceae.
GUAACGGCGAGUGAAGCGGCAACAGCUCAAAUUUGAAAUCUGGGGUCCGAGUUGUAAUUUGCAGAGGGUGCUUUGGCAUCGGCGGCGGUCUAAGUUCCUUGGAACAGGACAUCGCAGAGGGUGAGAAUCCCGUACGUGGGCGCCUGCCUUUGCCGUGUAAAGCCCCUUCGACGAGUCGAGUUGUUUGGGAAUGCAGCUCUAAAUGGGAGGUAAAUUUCUUCUAAAGCUAAAUACCGGCCAGAGACCGAUAGCGCACAAGUAGAGUGAUCGAAAGAUGAAAAGUACUUUGGAAAGAGAGUCAAAUAGCACGUGAAAUUGUUGAAAGGGAAGCGCUUGCAGCCAGACUUGCCCGCAGUUGCUCACCCAGGCUCCGGCCUGGGGCACUCUUCUGCGGGCAGGCCAGCAUCAGUUUGGGCGGUUGGAUAAAGGCCUCUGUCACGUAUCUCCCUUAAUGCAACCAGCCCGGACUGAGGUCCGCGCAUCUGCUAGGAUGCUGGCGUAAUGGCUGUAAGCGGCCCGUCUUGAAACACGGACCAAGGAGUCUAACAUCUAUGCGAGUGUUUGGGUGUCAAGCCCGGGCGCGUAAUGAAAGUGAACGGAGGUGGGAACCGGUGCACCAUCGACCGAUCCUGAUGUCUUCGGAUGGAUUUGAGUAAGAGCAUAGCUGUUGGGACCCGAAAGAUGGUGAACUAUGCUUGAAUAGGGUGAAGCCAGAGGAAACUCUGGUGGAGGCUCGCAGCGGUUCUGACGUGCAAAUCGAUCGUCAAAUUUGGGCAUAG